This 455-nucleotide ribosomal RNA is filed under the name Burkholderia cenocepacia. RNAcentral describes it as "bacterial SSU rRNA". It matches the Rfam family "Bacterial small subunit ribosomal RNA", at positions 1 to 456 of the family's 1533-position model. Lineage: Bacteria; Pseudomonadati; Pseudomonadota; Betaproteobacteria; Burkholderiales; Burkholderiaceae. The record is from RNAcentral.
GAACUGAAGAGUUUGAUCCUGGCUCAGAUUGAACGCUGGCGGCAUGCCUUACACAUGCAAGUCGAACGGCAGCACGGGUGCUUGCACCUGGUGGCGAGUGGCGAACGGGUGAGUAAUACAUCGGAACAUGUCCUGUAGUGGGGGAUAGCCCGGCGAAAGCCGGAUUAAUACCGCAUACGAUCCACGGAUGAAAGCGGGGGACCUUCGGGCCUCGCGCUAUAGGGUUGGCCGAUGGCUGAUUAGCUAGUUGGUGGGGUAAAGGCCUACCAAGGCGACGAUCAGUAGCUGGUCUGAGAGGACGACCAGCCACACUGGGACUGAGACACGGCCCAGACUCCUACGGGAGGCAGCAGUGGGGAAUUUUGGACAAUGGGCGAAAGCCUGAUCCAGCAAUGCCGCGUGUGUGAAGAAGGCCUUCGGGUUGUAAAGCACUUUUGUCCGGAAAGAAAUCCUUG